Long non-coding RNA from Tupaia belangeri chinensis (Chinese tree shrew), 576 nucleotides. RefSeq lists it as uncharacterized. The transcript is spliced from 4 exons. The record is from RefSeq and is a predicted model, not a curated record. Lineage: Eukaryota; Metazoa; Chordata; Mammalia; Scandentia; Tupaiidae.
AGCCCCGGUUUCUUGUACGUCGAGAGGCACGUUGGGCAGGGUUUAUAUUUUCAUCAUUCAAAUACUUGAAUACUCGUUUCAACCCUGUGCAAGGCAGCUUGUUAGCACUGGAGGGAUAAAGGGUCACGGAGUUUCUAGGCCUGAGGGCAGGACAGGCAUGAACCCACAACAGACCAGACUGAAAACAGGAUGAGUGAACACGUCUGUCACCAGCACGAAACUAACAGCUGACCCAUCUGUCUGGGCGUUUAAGGAGUAAGAGAAGUUAAGGAAGGUCUGAAUCACAAGACACUGAUAAGCUGUCUGAACCCCUGCCCUACUCUCUGGAGCGUCCCAUUCCUGGCUCCCCGGUCUGCCCCAGGAGUCAGUGUACCCCUGUGGGAGCAGUGUCCAGCUCCAGCUAGAGAGGGGUUGAAAAGCUGGACCUGGAGUACGAGAAAUCUGGCAGAGCACGGGAGUCUCAGGCCCUGCAGAUCUGCAGACCAUCAACAGUCUGCGAUGAUAUCCGAAUGGCAAUGGAAAGUAGUGUUCAGGGGCCAGCAGAUGGCUCAGUGGUUACGUCCCUGGACUCCCAUA